Molecule: ribosomal RNA, 562 nt
Filed under: uncultured bacterium
Lineage: Bacteria
Description: bacterial SSU rRNA
Rfam family: Bacterial small subunit ribosomal RNA
Source: RNAcentral
CCUACGGGAGGCAGCAGUGGGGAAUCUUGCACAAUGGGCGAAAGCCUGAUGCAGCGAAGCCGCGUGGGGGAUGAAGCUUCUCGGAGUGUAAACCCCUUUAGACCCGGACGAAUGCCCCGCCAAGGGGACUGACGGUACGGGUAUAAGAAGCCCCGGCUAACUACGUGCCAGCAGCUGCGGUAAGGACGUGGGGGGCCAGCGUUGUUCGGAAUUACUGGGUGUAAAGGGUUCGUANGCGGUGCGGCAAGUUGGGAGUGAAAUCUCUGGGCUAAACCCAGAGGCUGCUUCCAAAACUGCUGUGCUUGAGUGUGGGAGAGGCGAGUGGAAUUGCAGGUGUAGCGGUGAAAUGCGUAGAUAUCUGCAGGAACACCCGUGGCGAAAGCGGAGCGCUGGACCACAACUGACGCUGAGGAACGAAAGCUAGGGGAGCAAACAGGAUUAGAUACCCUGGUAGUCCUAGCCCUAAACGAUCAGGACUUGGGGUGCCGCCNGUUCGGGCGUCGUCCCGGAGCUAACGCGUUAAGUCNUGCACCUGGGGAGUACGGUCGCAAGACUGAAACUC